UAUUGUGCGAAGGUAGCAUAAUCAUUAGUCUUUUAAUUGAAGACUUGUAUGAAUGGUUGGACAAAAAGUAAUCUGUCUCAGUUAUAAUAGUUGAACUUAACUUUUAAGUGAAAAGGCUUAAAUACUUUAAGGGGACGAUAAGACCCUAUAAAACUUAACAAUAAUUUGAUUAAAUUAUAAAUUGUUAGUAUAACUUGAUUUUAAUUAAUGUUUGUUGCGUUGGGGCGACGGGAAUAUAAUUAGUAACUGUUCUUAAAUAUUUUAUUAACAAGUAUAAUUGAAGAAUAAUUGAUCCUUUAUUAAAGAUUAAAAGAUUAAGUUACUUUAGGGAUAACAGCGUAAUCUUCUUUGAGAGUCCUCAUCGACAAGAAGGUUUGCGACCUCGAUGUUGAAUUAAGGA
RNAcentral lists this ribosomal RNA (400 nucleotides) under Penaeus monodon (black tiger shrimp). Its description in RNAcentral is "partial 16S ribosomal RNA". It matches the Rfam family "Bacterial large subunit ribosomal RNA", at positions 1944 to 2543 of the family's 2925-position model. Lineage: Eukaryota; Metazoa; Arthropoda; Malacostraca; Decapoda; Penaeidae. The record is from RNAcentral.